UGUUUUAGAGAUUAUCAAGAACAUAGACCAUGAUCAAUAUCCUUUGAAUCGAGUACUCAUUGAUACAUAAUCGCAGACGAUAAGUAUAAAUUUUUUUUUGUAAAAAUAGACUUGGUCACACUCUAUCAAAUCCGUUUCCGUGAAACGACGUCGGAUGCGUGCAUUUUUGGAUUGCAACGUGAGUUCGUCGAAUUGUGAUCUCAUUUCGAUGAAUAUUCACGAUCGAAGUCGUUCAAGUUUUAGAGCUUGUAAAGAAGAUAAACAUUUUUAAAGAUCAUUUGUAUCGAAUUCUGAACGAUGCAUAAUCGGAGAUGAUCAAUGUGAUUUUGUUUCUAUGAAAAUAGAAUUAGCCACACAGUAUCAAACCCAUUAUAACAAAGAUUAAAUUCACUCCGACGAAGGGACGUCCCCGACGGGGAGAGAGAGAGAGAGAGAGAGAGAGAGAGAGAGAAAAUGUGGUUGUUCAGCAGAGAAGCAACUACUCGGCUGCUCACUAUUCCAUUGUAACAGAAACAUCUGCUAAUCAUUCUGGUGAAAAAAGGGAGCUGGUGUCGAAUAACGGUUCGAGAUUGUCUCAGACCCUUCGGAUCAGUACUACUAAAGCCCUCUAGGUUUGAUUGGUCAAAACAAAGGUUGUUUCGCGAAUGAAAAGAGUGUUGUCCACAAGAAGAUCAUGGAACAGUGGAAAAUCCUCCAAAAAAAGUCUUCCUGAAUCCGUCUACGUCUGAGCAUACAAAGACUGGAUUGACCUACUUUGAGCUGUGAUCGUUGGAACCCACAGGACCCACUACCAUGACUGCCUCUUCUUCCUCGACAUCGCCUUCCCUUCCAAUUACCUGAAUGUCCCUCCAAAAGUCUAUUACCACUGCCCUGGCCUGUGACUGAAUCCCGACCUAUAUGCAAGCGGGUGCAUGUGCUUGAGCCUAAUCAACAAUUGGCGUGGCUACACGAAAGAGAGGUGGACCCGUUCUUCAUCCUCCAUUCUUCAGUUACUGUUUCCAUUCAAGGGCUUGUGCUCAUUGAGAGACCCUACUUCAAUGAGUGAACCUGUGUACACUGACGAUUGGUUUGAGGUCUCUAAAUAAUGAAGAUGACAUCACUUGGUCGUGUAUGACUAUGCUUUUUGUAUUGCAUGAAACGCCCAACAAUUUUCAGGACAUUGUUUCUGAACACUUUCAUAGUCGCGCAUGUGAGACAUUGAACACGGUCGGUGCUUAUGGGGUGGUCGUGCUAUUGUUGGUUGGUAUCAAGCGAUACGAUAGGGUCUAAUUCAUCAUCUUUGGGUGAGCAUGCCGGCUAGUUUUAAGGGUACUACUAUGCACUACUUUUUUCUGGGAACUACUACUUGAGGACCUCAGCUUUCUUGUCCUGAGCCUCGCACGGGUUACGGCGGCAAGGAAGGAAGGAGAGAAGCAUAUGCCAACCAAUACGUUGCCUCAACCGGUGGUGCAAAAGAACACCAAAGAGUGUGAUUUGACUGAGAUCCAGAUUAACUUAAAUUGUGUUACUGACAGGUUUAUAAAUUGAUGGAACAAGAGAGGGUGUGAAGGAAGCCAGAAACGCACUUGGAGUUUUAACUUUUUAGCUUUAGGCCCGUUGAAAUAGGCAGCGAGUCUGUAUCUCUCAACAGUCAACUCUGUUUGGACCAUGUUCACCACCUAAUAUCUUUAUGCUUCUG
Rhododendron vialii is the source of this 1678-nucleotide long non-coding RNA. RefSeq lists it as uncharacterized. The record is from RefSeq and is a predicted model, not a curated record. Lineage: Eukaryota; Viridiplantae; Streptophyta; Magnoliopsida; Ericales; Ericaceae. The transcript is spliced from 2 exons.